UACAAAAAUGAAAGUGUUACAAUAGCCUUGACCAAAUGCCACCAGCUCGUUGAUACACUUACUGCUAGCUAACGAGUUGUGAACUUCACACCAAUUUCUUAAUUACAAAGUAAACGAAAACCCAAUAACUGAUGAGCCAUGUGACAUAUAAAUUACCCACCGAAAAUAAAUGAAAUCAAAGCACAUUCAAAAAAUACUCAAAGGCAACAACAACAAGCAUAGCCAAUAAAGAUGUGCAGGUGUAAAUGAAGAUUGAAAAACAUUUAUAAGAAAAUAAAAUGUAUAAAAAAAUGGCAAAUGUUGAUAAUCGGCGUCCACCAUGGCAAACAUUCAAGUUAACAAUUUACACAGCGGAGUACGAGAAGCGAUUUGUGGAGAUUUAGAGGAAGCAAAAAACGAAGUAUUGUGUGAGGAGUGAUGUUUGUAAAAUACGCAUAGAUAACUCUUUAUGGGCUUAUACAAUAGGAGAAUCUUAUGCAAACAUAAAAUGGCUAUGCAAAGAUAAAUAAUUCAAUUUAAAAUUAUAUAAAUAGAAAAUUUUAUGUGAUAAAUUA
Long non-coding RNA from Zeugodacus cucurbitae (melon fly), 554 nucleotides. RefSeq lists it as uncharacterized. NCBI's taxonomy places the organism in Eukaryota, Metazoa, Arthropoda, Insecta, Diptera, Tephritidae. The record is from RefSeq and is a predicted model, not a curated record. The transcript has 2 exons.